GAAACUAUGCCUGAAGUAAAGGGCCACUUUGAUAGAGUGAACCAUGGGGGUUCGAAUCCCCUUAGUUUCU
RNAcentral lists this transfer RNA (70 nucleotides) under Epinephelus bruneus (longtooth grouper). RNAcentral describes it as "tRNA-Ile". It matches the Rfam family "tRNA". Rfam says of the family: Transfer RNA (tRNA) molecules are approximately 80 nucleotides in length. Their secondary structure includes four short double-helical elements and three loops (D, anti-codon, and T loops). The record is from RNAcentral. Lineage: Eukaryota; Metazoa; Chordata; Actinopteri; Perciformes; Serranidae.